Molecule: ribosomal RNA, 401 nt
Filed under: uncultured bacterium
Lineage: Bacteria
Description: bacterial SSU rRNA
Rfam family: Bacterial small subunit ribosomal RNA
Source: RNAcentral
CAGCCCUUGACAUGUCUAGGACCGGUCGCAGAGACGCGACCUUCUCUUCGGAGCCUAGAGCACAGGUGCUGCAUGGCUGUCGUCAGCUCGUGUCGUGAGAUGUUGGGUUAAGUCCCGCAACGAGCGCAACCCCCGUCCUUAGUUGCUACCAUUUAGUUGAGCACUCUAAGGAGACUGCCGGUGAUAAGCCGCGAGGAAGGUGGGGAUGACGUCAAGUCCUCAUGGCCCUUACGGGCUGGGCUACACACGUGCUACAAUGGCGGUGACAAUGGGACGCUAAGGGGCAACCCUUCGCAAAUCUCAAAAAGCCGUCUCAGUUCGGAUUGGGCUCUGCAACUCGAGCCCAUGAAGUUGGAAUCGCUAGUAAUCGUGGAUCAGCAUGCCACGGUGAAUACGUUCCC